CCUACGGGAGGCAGCAGUGGGGAAUCUUGCGCAAUGGGCGAAAGCCUGACGCAGCCAUGCCGCGUGAAUGAUGAAGGUCUUAGGAUUGUAAAAUUCUUUCAGUAGGGACGAUAAUGACGGUACCUACAGAAGAAGCCCCGGCUAACUUCGUGCCAGCAGCCGCGGUAAUACGAAGGGGGCUAGCGUUGCUCGGAAUUACUGGGCGUAAAGGGAGCGUAGGCGGGUUAUCAAGUUGGAGGUGAAAGCCCAGGGCUCAACCUUGGAAUUGCCUUCAAAACUGAUAGCCUAGAGUAUGAUAGAGGUAUGUGGAACUCCGAGUGUAGAGGUGAAAUUCGUAGAUAUUCGGAAGAACACCAGUGGCGAAGGCGACAUACUGGGUCAUGACUGACGCUGAGGCUCGAAAGCGUGGGGAGCAAACAGGAUUAGAUACCCUGGUAGUCCACGCUGUAAACGAUGAUUGCUAGUUGUCGGACGGCAUGCCGUUCGGUGACGCNGCUACGCAUAGANANACCGCCGUCGGGAGGUACGGUCGCGAGAAGUAAACUAACGAAAGAAAGUUAGUAGCGUUGAGAGNGCGAGGACGACGACGAGGGAGGAGG
Molecule: ribosomal RNA, 599 nt
Filed under: uncultured bacterium
Lineage: Bacteria
Description: bacterial SSU rRNA
Rfam family: Bacterial small subunit ribosomal RNA (bases 1-515)
Source: RNAcentral